AGAAAGAAAUGAAGUUCAAUGGAGCUAAAAAACAUAUCCCCUGCACAGGAAUGAACUCUAGCUGCAUUCCAAGGAUGUCCUGCAGAGGAUAUAAUAUUUGAAAGUUGAGAAGUUCAGAAUGCUACCUUGAAAGUACUAUGAAGAAUAAUAAGUCUGCAGCAAACAGGCAAACAGAAACAGAUUCAGGGUAUAAUGUCUUAUCAAGGCAUGGUCCUUGAUCUACUUGGAGUUGGAUUUUGUGCAGUAACAGAGGUAUCACUAUAAGCCAAUGCCUUUGGAAUAGCCUUUUAAUUGAUGCUGUUAGAAAAAU
This is a non-coding RNA of Peromyscus maniculatus bairdii (prairie deer mouse), 310 nucleotides long. The record is from RefSeq and is a predicted model, not a curated record. NCBI's taxonomy places the organism in Eukaryota, Metazoa, Chordata, Mammalia, Rodentia, Cricetidae.